AGAGUUUGAUCCUGGCUCAGAUUGAACGCUGGCGGCAGGCCUAACACAUGCAAGUCGAGCGGAUGACGGGAGCUUGCUCCUUGAUUCAGCGGCGGACGGGUGAGUAAUACCUAGGAAUCUGCCUGAUAGUGGGGGACAACGUUUCGAAAGGAACGCUAAUACCGCAUACGUCCUACGGGAGAAAGCAGGGGACCUUCGGGCCUUGCGCUAUCAGAUGAGCCUAGGUCGGAUUAGCUAGUUGGUGAGGUAAUGGCUCACCAAGGCGACGAUCCGUAACUGGUCUGAGAGGAUGAUCAGUCACACUGGAACUGAGACACGGUCCAGACUCCUACGGGAGGCAGCAGUGGGGAAUAUUGGACAAUGGGCGAAAGCCUGAUCCAGCCAUGCCGCGUGUGUGAAGAAGGUCUUCGGAUUGUAAAGCACUUUAAGUUGGGAGGAAGGGCAGUAAGCUAAUACCUUGCUGUUUGACGUUACCGACAGAAUA
Molecule: ribosomal RNA, 484 nt
Filed under: Pseudomonas sp. AKB-2008-HE108
Lineage: Bacteria; Pseudomonadati; Pseudomonadota; Gammaproteobacteria; Pseudomonadales; Pseudomonadaceae
Description: bacterial SSU rRNA
Rfam family: Bacterial small subunit ribosomal RNA
Source: RNAcentral